CAGCCCGCACCUGCCCCCCCAACCAGUUCUCCUGUGCCAGUGGCCGCUGCAUCCCCAUCUCCUGGACGUGUGAUCUGGAUGACGACUGUGGGGACCGCUCUGAUGAGUCUGCUUCGUGUGCCUAUCCCACCUGCUUCCCCCUGACUCAGUUUACCUGCAACAAUGGCAGAUGUAUCAACAUCAACUGGAGAUGCGACAAUGACAAUGACUGUGGGGACAACAGUGACGAAGCCGGCUGCAGCCACUCCUGUUCUAGCACCCAGUUCAAGUGCAACAGCGGGCGUUGCAUCCCCGAGCACUGGACCUGCGAUGGGGACAAUGACUGCGGAGACUACAGUGAUGAGACACACGCCAACUGCACCAACCAGGGCCCCCUGGUGGCUGCCACACUGAUGAGUUCCAGUGCCGGCUGGAUGGACUAUGCAUCCCCCUGCGGUGGCGCUGCGAUGGGGACACUGACUGCAUGGACUCCAGCGAUGAGAAGAGCUGUGAGGGAGUGACCCACGUCUGCGAUCCCAGUGUCAAGUUUGGCUGCAAGGACUCAGCUCGGUGCAUCAGCAAAGCGUGGGUGUGUGAUGGCGACAAUGACUGUGAGGAUAACUCGGACGAGGAGAACUGCGAGUCCCUGGCCUGCAGGCCACCCUCGCACCCUUGUGCCAACAACACCUCAGUCUGCCUGCCCCCUGACAAGCUGUGUGAUGGCAACGACGACUGUGGCGACGGCUCAGAUGAGGGCGAGCUCUGCGACCAGUGCUCUCUGAAUAACGGUGGCUGCAGCCACAACUGCUCAGUGGCACCUGGCGAAGGCAUUGUGUGUUCCUGCCCUCUGGGCAUGGAGCUGGGGCCCGACAACCACACCUGCCAGAUCCAGAGCUACUGUGC
Molecule: long non-coding RNA, 882 nt
Filed under: Homo sapiens (human)
Lineage: Eukaryota; Metazoa; Chordata; Mammalia; Primates; Hominidae
Description: long non-coding RNA NONHSAT162278.1
Source: RNAcentral